AGGGGAAUGCAGGAUCCUGGGCUGUGUCCCCUGGCAUCCUGGGCUCCAGGGCCUGCGCUGCUGGAAUGGUGCUUGCCGGCCGUGCGGCGCCCU
Molecule: microRNA precursor, 93 nt
Filed under: Canis lupus familiaris (dog)
Lineage: Eukaryota; Metazoa; Chordata; Mammalia; Carnivora; Canidae
Also listed under: 1 other name
Description: mir-8799 microRNA precursor family
Rfam family: mir-8799 microRNA precursor family
Source: Rfam by way of RNAcentral